UUAAAGCUGAGAGGUGAUGACGAUGGAUGGGGCAACCCUGAAGGAGUCUGCUGAUGCUACGCUUCCAAGAAAAGCUUCCGUUGGGAGAUUUGCGUGUAGCCGUACCGUAAACCGACACAGGUGGGUGGGGUGAGAAUCAUAAGGCGCGUGAGUGAUUGCUUGUCAAGGAACUCUGCAAGUUGAUGCCGUAACUUCGGGAGAAGGCAUGCCUCUUAAGGUGAAGGAAUUUACUUCCGUAAGCCAUUUGAGGUCGCAGAAACUAGGUGGCGGCGACUGUUUAACAAAAACACAGGACUAUGCAAAGACGAUCAAGUCGAAGUAUAUGGUCUGACUCCUGUCCGGUGCUGGAAGGUUAAAGAGAGAUGUUAGCCGCAAGGCGAAGCUUCGAACUGAAGCCCCAGUAAACGGCGGCCGUAACAAUAACGGUCCUAAGGUAGCGAAAUUCCUUGUCGGGUAAGUUCCGACCUGCACGAAUGGAGUAACGAUUGCCACACUGUCUCGACAAGCAGCUCAGCGAAAUUGAAUUUGCGGUGCAGAUGCCGUAUACGCGCAGAAAGACGGAAAGACCCUGUGCACCUUUACUAUAGCUUGACAGCGAAUUUAGAUUUAGGCUGUGUAGAAUAGGUGGGAGACUUUGAAGCGGUCACGCUAGUGAUCGUGGAGUCAUCGUUGAAAUACCACCCUGUCUGUAUUUGAAUUCUAACUCCUUCCCGUGAAUCCGGGAAGAGGACACUGUCUGGUGGGUAGUUUGACUGGGGCGGUCGCCUCCCAAAGAGUAACGGAGGCGCGCAAAGGUUCCCUCAGGCUGAUUAGAAACCAGCCGUUGAGUGUAAAAGCAAAAGGGAGCUUGACUGUGAGACAUACACGUCGAACAGGGACGAAAGUCGGCUUUAGUGAUCCGGUGGUUCUGGAUGGAAGGGCCAUCGCUCAUCGGACAAAAGGUACGCCGGGGAUAACAGGCUGAUGACUUCCAAGAGUUCACAUCGACGAAGUCGUUUGGCACCUCGAUGUCGGCUCAUCACAUCCUGGGGCUGAGGUUGGUCCCAAGGGUUGGGCUGUUCGCCCAUUAAAGUGGUACGCGAGCUGGGUUCAGAACGUCGUGAGACAGUUCGGUCCCUAUCUUCUGUGCGCGCAGGAUAUUUGAAAGGAGCUGUCCCUAGUACGAGAGGACCGGGAUGGACGAACCUCUGGUGCACCAGUUGUCACGCCAGUGGCACAGCUGGGUAGCUAUGUUCGGUAAGGAUAACCACUGAAAGCAUCUAAGUGGGAAACCUGCCUUAAGAUUAGAUAUCCCAAUUAGACACCAUGUAGACCACGUGGUUGAUAGGCAAGGUGUGGAAGUGUCGUAAGACACGGAGCUUACUUGUACUAAUCUGUCAAUUGGCUUC
This 1388-nucleotide ribosomal RNA is filed under the name metagenome. RNAcentral describes it as "bacterial LSU rRNA". It matches the Rfam family "Bacterial large subunit ribosomal RNA", at positions 1537 to 2925 of the family's 2925-position model. The record is from RNAcentral.